Molecule: ribosomal RNA, 578 nt
Filed under: fungal sp. AM2013
Lineage: Eukaryota; Fungi
Description: eukaryotic LSU rRNA
Rfam family: 5.8S ribosomal RNA (bases 204-357)
Source: RNAcentral
CCCCCCAAUGUGAACGUUACCAAUCUGUUGCCUCGGCGGGAUUCUCUGCCCCGGGCGCGUCGCAGCCCCGGAUCCCAUGGCGCCCGCCGGAGGACCAACUCAAACUCUUUUUUCUCUCCGUCGCGGCUUCCGUCGCGGCUCUGUUUUACCUUUGCUCUGAGCCUUUCUCGGCGACCCUAGCGGGCGUCUCGAAAAUGAAUCAAAACUUUCAACAACGGAUCUCUUGGUUCUGGCAUCGAUGAAGAACGCAGCGAAAUGCGAUAAGUAAUGUGAAUUGCAGAAUUCAGUGAAUCAUCGAAUCUUUGAACGCACAUUGCGCCCGCCAGUAUUCUGGCGGGCAUGCCUGUCCGAGCGUCAUUUCAACCCUCGAACCCCUCCGGGGGGUCGGCGUUGGGGGAUCGGCCCCUCACCGGGCCGCCCCCGAAAUACAGUGGCGGUCUCGCCGCAGCCUCUCCUGCGCAGUAGUUUGCACACUCGCACCGGGAGCGCGGCGCGGCCACAGCCGUAAAACACCCCAAACUCUGAAAUGUUGACCUCGGAUCAGGUAGGAAUACCCGCUGAACUUAAGCAUAUCAAUA